This 514-nucleotide ribosomal RNA is filed under the name uncultured bacterium. RNAcentral's name for it is "bacterial SSU rRNA". It matches the Rfam family "Bacterial small subunit ribosomal RNA", at positions 147 to 649 of the family's 1533-position model. The record is from RNAcentral.
CUAUUGGAAACGAUAGCUAAUACCGCAUAACAGUAGAUGUUGCAUGACAUUUACUUGAAAGGUGCAAAUGCACCACUACCAGAUGGACCUGCGUUGUAUUAGCUAGUUGGUGAGGUAACGGCUCACCAAGGCGACGAUACAUAGCCGACCUGAGAGGGUGAUCGGCCACACUGGGACUGAGACACGGCCCAGACUCCUACGGGAGGCAGCAGUAGGGAAUCUUCGGCAAUGGACGGAAGUCUGACCGAGCAACGCCGCGUGAGUGAAGAAGGUUUUCGGAUCGUAAAGCUCUGUUGUAAGAGAAGAACGAGUGUGAGAGUGGAAAGUUCACACUGUGACGGUAUCUUACCAGAAAGGGACGGCUAACUACGUGCCAGCAGCCGCGGUAAUACGUAGGUCCCGAGCGUUAUCCGGAUUUAUUGGGCGUAAAGCGAGCGCAGGCGGUUAGAUAAGUCUGAAGUUAAAGGCUGUGGCUUAACCAUAGUACGCUUUGGAAACUGUUUAACUUGAGUGC